Molecule: ribosomal RNA, 321 nt
Filed under: uncultured Prevotella sp.
Lineage: Bacteria; Pseudomonadati; Bacteroidota; Bacteroidia; Bacteroidales; Prevotellaceae
Description: partial 16S ribosomal RNA
Source: RNAcentral
GGAGUUUGGACCGUGUCUCAGUUCCAAUGUGGGGGACCUUCCUCUCAGAACCCCUACUGAUCGUCGCCUUGGUGGGCCGUUACCCCGCCAACAAGCUAAUCAGACGCAUCCCCAUCCAUUACCGUUGAAAACUUUGGUCUCGCUUAGAUGUCUGCACGAGACCGCAUCAGGGAUUAAUCCAGUUUUCACUGGGCUAUACCUGAGUAAUGGGCAGGUUGGAUACGCGUUACUCACCCGUGCGCCGGUCGCCAUCAGAGUCUGCAAGCAAACCCUAUGCUGCCCCUCGACUUGCAUGUGUUAAGCCUGUAGCUAGCGUUCAUC